AAGAAACCAACAGGGAUUGCCUCAGUAACGGCGAGCGAAGCGGCAAUAGCUCAGAUUUGAAAUCCGGCGCCCCACAGCGUCUGAGUUGUAAUCUGGAGAGGAUGUUUCGGUCGGGUCGCAGGUCCAGGUUCCUUGGAACAGGACGUCGUAGAGGGUGAGAAUCCCGUACUCGGCUUGCGCCACCCUUCCAUGUGAAACUCCUUCGACGAGUCGAGUUGUUUGGGAAUGCAGCUCAAAAUGGGUGGUAAAUUCCAUCUAAAGCUAAAUACCGGCGGGAGACCGAUAGCGCACAAGUAGAGUGAUCGAAAGAUGAAAAGCACUUUGAAAAGAGAGUUAAACAGUACGUGAAAUUGUUGAAAGGGAAGCGCUUGCCAUCAGAAUCCCGGCCAGACGAUCAACGUCCCUUCUGGGGCGUGCACUCGUCGGGUCAGGUGCCAGCAUCGGUUGGGGCGGCGGGACAAAGGCGGACGGAAUGUGGCUCCCCCGGGAGUGUUAUAGCCGUCCGUGCAAUGCCGCCAGCCGCGACCGAGGUCCGCGCUCACGCAAGGAUGCUGGCCUAAUGGUUGUAAGCGGCCCGUCUUGAAACACGGACCAAGGAGUCUAACAUCUACGCGAGUGUUUGGGUGUCAAACCCAUGCGCGCAAUGAAAGUGAACGGAGGCGAGACCCCCUGAGGGCGCAUCGUCGACCGAACCUGAUGUUCUCGGAUGGUUUUGAGUAGGAGCGUAGCUGUUGGGACCCGAAAGAUGGUGAACUAUGCCUGAAUAGGGUGAAGCCAGAGGAAACUCUGGUGGAGGCUCGCAGCGGUUCUGACGUGCAAAUCGAUCGUCAAAUUUGGGUAUAGGGGCGAAAGACUAAUCGAACCAUCUAGUAGCUGGUUCCUGCCGA
RNAcentral lists this ribosomal RNA (887 nucleotides) under Hyalorbilia sp. RNAcentral's name for it is "partial large subunit ribosomal RNA". It matches the Rfam family "Eukaryotic large subunit ribosomal RNA", at positions 59 to 964 of the family's 3401-position model. The record is from RNAcentral. Lineage: Eukaryota; Fungi; Ascomycota; Orbiliomycetes; Orbiliales; Orbiliaceae.